Molecule: ribosomal RNA, 844 nt
Filed under: Citrobacter koseri
Lineage: Bacteria; Pseudomonadati; Pseudomonadota; Gammaproteobacteria; Enterobacterales; Enterobacteriaceae
Description: partial 23S ribosomal RNA
Rfam family: Bacterial large subunit ribosomal RNA
Source: RNAcentral
GGUUAAGCGACCAAGCGUACACGGUGGAUGCCCUGGCAGUCAGAGGCGAUGAAGGACGUGCUAAUCUGCGAAAAGCGCCGGCGAGGUGAUAUGAACCCUUGACCCGGCGAUGUCCGAAUGGGGAAACCCAGUGUGACUCGUCACACUAUCGUUAGCUGAAUACAUAGGCUAACGAGGCGAACCGGGGGAACUGAAACAUCUAAGUACCCCGAGGAAAAGAAAUCAACCGAGAUUCCCCCAGUAGCGGCGAGCGAACGGGGAGGAGCCCAGAGCCUGAAUCAGCUUGUGUGUUAGUGGAAGCGUCUGGAAAGUCGCACGGUACAGGGUGAAAGUCCCGUACACGAAAACGCACAGGCUGUGAGCUCGAUGAGUAGGGCGGGACACGUGGUAUCCUGUCUGAAUAUGGGGGGACCAUCCUCCAAGGCUAAAUACUCCUGACUGACCGAUAGUGAACCAGUACCGUGAGGGAAAGGCGAAAAGAACCCCGGCGAGGGGAGUGAAAAAGAACCUGAAACCGUGUACGUACAAGCAGUGGGAGCCUCUUUUAUGGGGUGACUGCGUACCUUUUGUAUAAUGGGUCAGCGACUUAUAUUCUGUAGCAAGGUUAACCGUAUAGGGGAGCCGAAGGGAAACCGAGUCUUAACUGGGCGUUAAGUUGCAGGGUAUAGACCCGAAACCCGGUGAUCUAGCCAUGGGCAGGUUGAAGGUUGGGUAACACUAACUGGAGGACCGAACCGACUAAUGUUGAAAAAUUAGCGGAUGACCUGUGGCUGGGGGUGAAAGGCCAAUCAAACCGGGAGAUAGCUGGUUCUCCCCGAAAGCUAUUUAGGUAGCGCCUCGUGAA